This 87-nucleotide non-coding RNA is filed under the name Sutterella wadsworthensis 2_1_59BFAA. The record is from RNAcentral. Lineage: Bacteria; Pseudomonadati; Pseudomonadota; Betaproteobacteria; Burkholderiales; Sutterellaceae.
AAUUCUGGGUAGGGCUUGCGGGACAUCGAAAGAUGUGCCAGUUUCCAAUGUACUGGUCCGCCAACCCGCAAGUCCUCGCCCACCAUC